RNAcentral lists this ribosomal RNA (549 nucleotides) under uncultured Glomus. Its description in RNAcentral is "SSU rRNA". It matches the Rfam family "Eukaryotic small subunit ribosomal RNA", at positions 548 to 1098 of the family's 1831-position model. Lineage: Eukaryota; Fungi; Glomeromycota; Glomeromycetes; Glomerales; Glomeraceae. The record is from RNAcentral.
UUGGAGGGCAAGUCUGGUGCCAGCAGCUGCGGUAAUUCCAGCUCCAAUUGCGUAUAUUAAAGUUGUUGCAGUUAAAAAGCUCGUAGUUGAAUUUCGGGAUCAAGGGAUCGGUCAUGCCUUGGUAUGUACUGGUUUCAUUGGUUCUCACCUUCUAAAGAACCAUGAUGUCAUUCAUUUGAUGUUAUGGGGAAUUAGGACUGUUACCUUGAAAAAAUUAGAGUGUUUAAAGCAGGCUUUACGCUUGAAUACAUUAGCAUGGAAUAAUGAAAUAGGACAUCCGAUUCUAUUUUGUUGGUUUCUAGGAUCGAUGUAAUGAUUAAUAGGGAUAGUUGGGGGCAUUAGUAUUCAAUUGUCAGAGGUGAAAUUCUUGGAUUUAUUGAAGACUAACUACUGCGAAAGCAUUUGCCAAGGAUGUUUUCAUUAAUCAAGAACGAAAGUUAGGGGAUCGAAGACGAUCAGAUACCGUCGUAGUCUUAACCAUAAACUAUGCCGACUAGGGAUCGGAUGAUGUUAAUUUUAUAAUGACUCAUUCGGCACCUUACGGGAAAC